This 1123-nucleotide long non-coding RNA is filed under the name Chrysemys picta bellii (western painted turtle). Its description in RNAcentral is "lncRNA (ENSCPBG00000010413.1)". The record is from RNAcentral. Lineage: Eukaryota; Metazoa; Chordata; Testudines; Emydidae.
CAAAUAUAUUUUAAAGACUUUUCCAGAUAAAGCAUGACUAGAGGCCUUCAAAUGUUCACCAUGUAAUCCAUUCAUUCUGUUCCACAGUACAUGUUCACCAAAUUUAAAGUCAGAAUCUGUUCUAAGAUUUUAACCACAGCAGUACCAACUUGUGACUAGGAGCCAAGGUUUUCACUUCUUGUACUAGACUAGUAUUAAAAAUUCCAUGCAUGAUGAUCUCCAGUAUUGGUUAGAAUUAGUGAGGAUACAUUGUGAACCCUUUAAAACAUUAUGUUCAUUCACUCCUGCAAUUACGGUGUUCAUACUGGCACUACAGCGUUAAAGCCUGAGCGCAAAAAGCCUUAUAACUCUCAUCAUGGUGUUUUAUUACAGCGCUUGCAAUUGCGGCGUUUUGGUGCAAAAAGUGCCUUGUCAGUGUAGUCACCACUGUUGUUUCAGCACAAAAAGCUGACUUUUAGCGCAAAAACUUGCAAGUGUAGAUCAGGCCUAAGGCAGCCAGUUUUGUAUAGCAAGGAGAAGUCAUGUUUUCUUCAUCUUUUCACAGUCAGAGGGCUUGACCUGGCAUUUCUCAAAAGGUACGUUUUUAUUCACCAACAACCUACAUAAUUCUCAUCAGCUGUUUUAAAAAAAUGCUUUUCUGCCUGUGGAGCAAACAGAGGAACCACGAAUGACUCAUACUCUCUUCACAUGGGGAAGGAAUUUUCUAUAACAGUAAAUGCUACUGCUUUAAUCUGGAAAUACUGAAGUCCAAUAUUGUUUUCAUACCCUGUUUUGUAUUGGCCAGAACAUCUCCCUGUGUUACAUUACAGGGACUUGGUGAUGUGGUUAGAGUCCGGAGAGUCCCCUGCCUAACUUGCUGCUACUCGGAGGCAGUUAGCACAACCAUGGACUUUACAGUUUUGUUGCCUCUGUCCUUGCUUGUGGAGGGGAACUGGCAGGACAGCUCGGGACUGUUGCCAAAGGAGAACAAGUAGGAGGAGGUGGGCAAGGUUUCAGUGCAGUACUGCAGAUCGGAAGUCAUAUCACUGAAACUCUGACUGCCUUUCUGAAGAUCUUCCACUGUAGGUGAGAACAAAACUGAAAUUAAUCACUCACUUUUUGUCAACCUUAAUAAUUGGGGAGG